This 547-nucleotide ribosomal RNA is filed under the name uncultured bacterium. RNAcentral describes it as "bacterial SSU rRNA". It matches the Rfam family "Bacterial small subunit ribosomal RNA", at positions 355 to 896 of the family's 1533-position model. The record is from RNAcentral.
UGGGGAAUAUUGCGCAAUGGGGGGAACCCUGACGCAGCCAUGCCGCGUGAAUGAAGAAGGCCUUCGGGUUGUAAAGUUCUUUCGGUAUUGAGGAAGGUUGAUGUGUUAAUAGCACAUCAAAUUGACGUUAAAUACAGAAGAAGCACCGGCUAACUCCGUGCCAGCAGCCGCGGUAAUACGGAGGGUGCGAGCGUUAAUCGGAAUAACUGGGCGUAAAGGGCACGCAGGCGGUUAUUUAAGUGAGGUGUGAAAGCCCUGGGCUUAACCUAGGAAUUGCAUUUCAGACUGGGUAACUAGAGUACUUUAGGGAGGGGUAGAAUUCCGCGUGUAGCGGUGAAAUGCGUAGAGAUGUGGAGGAAUACCGAAGGCGAAGGCAGCCCCUUGGGAAUGUACUGACGCUCAUGUGCGAAAGCGUGGGGAGCAAACAGGAUUAGAUACCCUGGUAGUCCACGCUGUAAACGCUGUCGAUUUGGGGGUUGGGGUUUAACUCUGGCGCCCGUAGCUAACGUGAUAAAUCGACCGCCUGGGGAGUACGGCCGCAAGGUUA